UCCCUGGUGGCUCAGUGGUAGAGAAUCCGUCCGCUAAUGCAAGAGACCCAGGUUCAAUCCCUGGUCUGGGAA
This 72-nucleotide transfer RNA is filed under the name Bos taurus (domestic cattle). It matches the Rfam family "tRNA". From Rfam's summary of the family: Transfer RNA (tRNA) molecules are approximately 80 nucleotides in length. Their secondary structure includes four short double-helical elements and three loops (D, anti-codon, and T loops). Lineage: Eukaryota; Metazoa; Chordata; Mammalia; Artiodactyla; Bovidae. The record is from Rfam by way of RNAcentral. RNAcentral also lists the same sequence under 4 other names.